ACAGAUGAGGGGAGAGAAGGAGGACAGCGAGGCUGCCGCCAGAGGGUCCCUGGGCCGGGACCCAGAGCAGAGGGCCGACCUCGGUCCCCCCCUUCCACCCCUUACAAUACACCCAGCCAUUGGCCGUGGGGAGCAGCCAUCACAGACUACAUCAGAUCCCUGACAGGAGGGAUUAGACUUUGGGGGUGUGGUUGGACAUGGUAGCUGGGGUGUAGAAAGACUGCUGAUCAUCCCCCCCCCAGAAGGGGGUGUGGACGAACUAAGGGGCACUACUGGAGGGCAGUGGUUCUGAAGAGGACGCUGCGAGCUGAAGAGCAACGUGGGCUCAGACGCCAACCAAGGGCGAGACAACAGGCAGGACACCACCAGGAGAGGGCGCUCCACUGGACUGAGCUAAUUCCCGGAGACACCAGCAGGAGGCGCUGCGGCGGUGAGUCCCAACCCUGUCACACCAUCCCCGUCCCAACAAGAAGUGACAAUUCCGGCACUUCAGAUGCAGGUGAACACAAGCUGGAUGAUUUUUUGUUACAUUGUGAAGCUUUGGAAGCAAUCAAUUUUAAAACAGUCAGCAAAGCAACACGGGAAACUGUUGAAAAAUUUGCAAUACCAUUUGAUUGCAUCACUGCAGUUGUGACUGAUAAUGCCAUGUACCUGGGGAAGGCUUGGCAUCGAGUUUUGAAACCUUUGUUUUUAAAUGCUGUACACCUUACAUGCAUGGCACAUUUGCUUAAGCUUUGGGCAAUCUGUGCAGGAAGAUACUCUUGAAAGUAAUUGAAUUAGUUGUGGCUGUAAAACGUGCUUUCACGGCCUGCCCUGCCAGAAAAGCCUGGUUCUGCAUGUUUCUAAUGGAAAGAGGGAAAAGUCCUUCCAUUCCACCAACCCCCAUAAUAACCAGAUGGAACAGCUGGUUCAAUGCAGCUAUUUAUGACACUGAACACACUGAGGAUUAUGUUUCAUUUUUUUACAGAGGAGAAUGGUCAUAGAAGUAGUUCAGGUGUUCAAGAGUUUGUUGAUCUUUGCCAAUCCACAGCAGUUAUUGAAAAACUCCAGGCUCUAAAAGAGUUUGCACCCCACUCAUGAACAUGCUUCCAGCUGUUGAACCACCCACAGUUUGUGCUCAUCAAGUCAAAAAUGACAUGGAGCAGUUCAAGAAUUGAGGAACGAGGACGUAUUCCUGUUCUGGAGAAGCAUGAUGGCCAGAUUCCCGCUCAGUCAUGUAAACUGAAGGUCUGAACUAGCUUGGGGUUCAAAUAGAAGGAAGCAAAUCCAGAUCUGCUGUCAGUUCAGAGUGGGUCUGGUUUCCAGAGAAACACAACGCGCACACAUGCAUGCAGAUGGACAUUUCUUAAGGGACAAAUCCAACAUCCUUUCAUACACUUUGACAGAAAAAAAUUCUGCAACUGAAUCCAGUCUGCCGCCUUCUCUUCCUGUCUGGGUUACCUGGCAAACUGAUAGCUAAAAGCAGCCAAUGUCAACAUGUGCAUGGGGGUGUCGGAGCACUAGUGAUGCAGUACCUUGCGUCUGUCUCCCUCGGAUUUAGUUCUUGACAACAUGGCCAGAGUUUGCUUGCUCUCUUCUCAGGAAAAUAUUCACAGUCAGUCGGGCCCAGACCAUAUAAGGUUUUUCAAUUUCUGUCACCACUUCCAUUAACACUUUGGGAUGGCACCUGGACUGGGUGCCUUGUCAGUUGGAAGGAUCUCUGACCUUUUAAAUAAGCAUUUUGACUGUUAUCUGCACUGAAGAUAUGCUGAACAGGUUAGUCAGUUGAUACCUACUUUACAUCAGACUGCCAUUGUUAUUUAGGGGAAGCAAGUAUUGAUACAGCCCUUGGGAAAUUCAGGGGAAGGAAAUACUUCUGAUGAAGUUAACAGACUAUUUAAUGUCAGUACUGAUGUAUACAGAUGUAGCUGAAAGAGGAGA
Non-coding RNA from Chrysemys picta bellii (western painted turtle), 1920 nucleotides. NCBI's taxonomy places the organism in Eukaryota, Metazoa, Chordata, Testudines, Emydidae. The record is from RefSeq and is a predicted model, not a curated record.